UUUAAUAGGCUAACAUUGCAAUUUCAACAUCAUAUCAUUGAACUUGCAUUAUAUAUUGAUUUCACAAAGUUAGUCCACAUAAAUUUGUUAGUGUUUAUAUUCAAACAACACACGUGACGGACCUGACUAAACCUCAUUGGUUCUUGGGAUUCAGUACGUCACAUUGGCUUCCUGAUUCAGUUGUUCGAUACACAACGUGGGUGAUCGUUGGUAAAUGUGGAUUAAAAGUUGAAACUAAAACUGUUAAAUUAUAUAUAGUGAUCAUCAGAGGACUUGGCUGAAACAACGCGAUUCACAUGGAUUACUUCGGCGAUGUUUUUUAUUGCUGUUGCGAUUAACUUUUUGAAAUGUGAGCAGUUUUUAAGUAGGUUAUCAAGUGGAUCUGACAUCGAGGGGAAAUAUACGUUUCUUGGAUUUCAUUAAAGUACAUCGGUUUUUGUUUGAAGAUGAAUGAGAGAACAUGAGGCACAGCGGCAUUCAAAUUGACCAAUCAGAGCCGAGAAUAUCUAAUAAGUCGAAGUAGAGAUGAACAGAUGAAGAUACAGCCCGUAAAAAUACUUAUUCUUGGUGAGUGCCAUGUAGCGACGGAUCAAACGGACACUCAUGUCAAGCUUGAUGAGGACACAGUCAAAGCUUUAAAAGACCUUGUGAUUAAGUCUUCAGUGUCUGAAUGGCAAGAAGAAGUGACCCUCCACUUAAACGUGACAUUUAAACUGCUCUGUGUUUUGGUUCAGCCAUUUG
This is a non-coding RNA of Paramisgurnus dabryanus, 741 nucleotides long. Lineage: Eukaryota; Metazoa; Chordata; Actinopteri; Cypriniformes; Cobitidae. The record is from RefSeq and is a predicted model, not a curated record.